This 483-nucleotide ribosomal RNA is filed under the name uncultured bacterium. RNAcentral's name for it is "partial 16S ribosomal RNA". It matches the Rfam family "Bacterial small subunit ribosomal RNA", at positions 28 to 523 of the family's 1533-position model. The record is from RNAcentral.
GACGAACGCUGGCGGCGUGCUUAACACAUGCAAGUCGAACGAUGAAGCUGGAGCUUGCUCCGGUGGAUUAGUGGCGAACGGGUGAGUAACACGUGAGCAAUCUGCCCUUGACUCUGGGAUAACUGCGGGAAACUGUAGCUAAUACCGGAUACGAGGCUCGAAGGCAUCUUCGGGUCUGGAAAGAAUUUCGGUCAAGGAUGAGCUCGCGGCCUAUCAGCUUGUUGGUGAGGUAAUGGCUCACCAAGGCGACGACGGGUAGCCGGCCUGAGAGGGUGACCGGCCACAAUGGGAGUGAGACACGGCCCAGACUCCUACGGGAGGCAGCGGUGGGGAAUAUUGCACAAUGGGCGAAAGCCUGAUGCAGCAACGCCGCGUGAGGGAUGAAGGCCUUCGGGUUGUAAACCUCUUUUAGCAGGGAAGAAGCGAAAGUGACGGUACCUGCAGAAAAAGCACCGGCUAACUACGUGCCAGCCGCCGCGGUAA